AUGAAUUUCACUCUGAAGGCCCCUGGUCCAGGGUAUACCUGUGGACCUGCAACCAAGUUAGAUGAACCUACAAAGUUCACUACACCAGAUGGAAGGAGGAAAACUCAAGCCCACAUGACAUGGACUGUGACUUGUACCUACUCACAGUUUCGCGCUCUGAGGUAUCCCACGUGUUGUUUAUCUCUCAGCGUGUUUUACAGCGACACACUUGUUACCUGCCCCAAAUGCUCAUGUGGCUGCCAAGAUAACAGCACAAAACCAGGAAUCUGUGUAGAGGGAAACUCACCUUAUCUUGGUUCUGUCAUGAAUGGUCAAGACAAGAACGGCUUGGCACCUCUGGUCCAAUGCACUACUCAUAUGUGCCCAAUAAGAGUUCAUUGGCAUGUGAAGGCUAACUACAAGGAGUACUUGAGAGUAAAGAUCACAGUGACAAACUUCAACUACGGGAUGAAUUACUCGCAGUGGAACCUAGUAGCUCAGCACCCUAAUGUCAACAGCUUGACUAGCAUUACCAGCUUCAACUACACAGCUCUGAACCCUUAUGGACUUAUGAAUGACACCGCUCUGUUAUGGGGCAUCAGGCACUACAAUGAUUAUCUCUUGACUGCUGGACCUGAUGGAUAUGUUCAGUCUGAGCUACUAUUCCGGAAGGACCCGUCAACAUUCACCUUGCGGGCAGGAUGGGCCUUUCCAAGAAGAGUGUACUUCAAUGGCGACAAGUGUGUGACGCCGCCUCCAGAUGCGUACCCGUGGCUGCCAAACGCAUCCACGAAAUCAACCGUAUCAGUUAUCGUCCCAUUGGUUCUUUGGAUGCUUGCUAAUCCCUACUUCUGA
This 834-nucleotide ribosomal RNA is filed under the name Triticum aestivum (bread wheat). RNAcentral describes it as "partial small subunit ribosomal RNA". Lineage: Eukaryota; Viridiplantae; Streptophyta; Magnoliopsida; Poales; Poaceae. The record is from RNAcentral.